This is a non-coding RNA of Smithella sp. SDB, 69 nucleotides long. The record is from Rfam. NCBI's taxonomy places the organism in Bacteria, Pseudomonadati, Thermodesulfobacteriota, Syntrophia, Syntrophales, Smithellaceae.
UUGACAAAAAAGUAAAGUUUUAUUAAAAAAAUUACAUUCGCUUGGAUCCGCAAGGACCGGGACGAAAGG